GAUGAAGAACGUAGCGAAAUGCGAUAAGUAAUGUGAAUUGCAGAAUUCAGUGAAUCAUCGAAUCUUUGAACGCACCUUGCGCUCCUUGGCAUUCCGGGGAGCAUGCCUGUUUGAGUGUCAUUAAAUUCUCAAGACCUGUCUGCUUUUUUGAUAGGUAUUGGAUUUUGGGGGUUGCAGGCUGUUUCAAAUAAAUAGCCUUGCUCUCCUUGAAUGUAUUAGUGGAGAAAAGCCAUUGAACUCCAUUGGUGUGAUAAAACCUAUCAAUGCCAGGAGCAAUAUCACUACUUCUCUCUGCUGUCUAACUGUGACUGUCUGUAUUAAUUAGUAUGGAUGGGGACAACUUGACCAACUUGACCUCAAAUCAGGUAGGACUACCCGCUGAACUUAAGCAUAUCAAUAAGCGGAGGA
Molecule: unclassified non-coding RNA, 408 nt
Filed under: soil metagenome
Description: partial contains 5.8S ribosomal RNA, internal transcribed spacer 2, and large subunit ribosomal RNA
Rfam family: 5.8S ribosomal RNA (bases 1-120)
Source: RNAcentral